Molecule: ribosomal RNA, 460 nt
Filed under: uncultured bacterium
Lineage: Bacteria
Description: partial 16S ribosomal RNA
Rfam family: Bacterial small subunit ribosomal RNA
Source: RNAcentral
CCUACGGGAGACAGCAGUGAGGAAUAUUGGUCAAUGGACGAGAGUCUGAACCAGCGAAGUAGCGUGAAGGAUGACUGCCCUAUGGGUUGUAAACUUCGUUUAUAAAGGAAUAAAACGAGGCACGUGUGCCUUUUUGCAUGUACUUUAUGAAUAAGGAUCGGCUAACUCAGUGACAGCAGCCGCGGUAAUACGGAAGAUCCGAGCGUUAUCCGGAUUUAUUGGGUUUAAAGGGAGCGUAGAUGGGUUGUUAAGUCAGUUGUGAAAGUUUGCGGCUUAACCGUAAAAUUGCAAUUGAUACUGGCAGUCUUGAGUACAGUUGAGGUAGGCGGAAUUCGUGGUGUAGCGGUGAAAUGCUUAGAUAUCACGAAGAACCCCGAUUGCGAAGGCAGCUUACUAAACUGUGACUGACAUUGAUGCUCGAAAGUGUGGGUAUCAAACAGGAUUAGAUACCCUGGUAGUC